GGCAGAUUGAAAGAACGCACAAGGCAACGUCUUUUAAAUAUUUGCAAGAAAGGAAAAUACUGGAACGGAACACAAUUCAAGCUACAAUGUGCAAUAGGAGAUAAAAUUCUAGUCAGAAAAGAAAAGGAAAACAGAGACGAUUAAAGCUUAUGAGAUUUUCAUAAAGAAAUAUCACUGCUUUCAUGUUUUAACUCAACAUAGGCGGGGUGAGACAGAAAAAUUGUCCAAAUUCAUUGCUACUGAUAAUUCUAUUCACCGCAAUAUGAUAGUGACUAAAGCAAA
RNAcentral lists this unclassified non-coding RNA (282 nucleotides) under Hevea brasiliensis (rubber tree). Lineage: Eukaryota; Viridiplantae; Streptophyta; Magnoliopsida; Malpighiales; Euphorbiaceae. The record is from RNAcentral.